CUUUGGUUUGCGUAGGAGUAUUUAUUGGAAUUAAAACUUGAUUUUGCAAUUAAUAUUUGGUCAUUUCAGUGAAGUUCACAGUGGAAUCUGAAAUAAUGGAACCAGUUUGGACCGGUGGUUGAGAUGUUGAUCUAGAAACCUGGAGACUGUGAUGGCAAAAGCAUAAAGAAUGCCAGUGGAGCCUUUUAUGUUUCAUUUUUCUUGAGUGCUGUCUCAGUUUUUUUUUUUCUUCCGAUGAUCUAACCUACCAUUGCCGCUGUUGCCUAUUUCUAAAGAAAUAAAACACUCUUAAUCUAAAUUAUUAGAUGCACACUCAUUAAUUUGUUACAAAAGAAAUAUUUCAAGAAUGACAGAUUUGUUGUGUAAGGCAGGACAAGUGGAUACAAGGGAAGGCUGUCUCUCUUGCUUCAGAAAUAAAAGGAGUGUCUUUAAAGCUACAGCCAGAAGAGGGCAGAGCUAGCCUACAAAUCAGUCAUUUCAAUACUUCUGCACACUGUGAUUCAAGGCCCUUAGAAGAAAGAACCAUUCACAGGAGGACUGUUUGAACAAUACAAGCCAGCAUUCUGGAGAUACGUUGAGAUUGCAACUCCCAGAAUUCCACACUACCAUGGGAACUCUGGGUAUUCAAUCCCAAGAGGCAAGCCGCUCAUGCCUAAACAGCUAUAUUUUCUUGGUUAUGGAGGCUGAACACAAUGAGAUCACUAGUUAGAAGGUUGCUGUUUGCAAUUCUGGCUGUCAAAACUGAGGCAGUGCUUUCAAAGUACAUUUCAGAAAAGAUGUUUUUCAUUGUUUUGCAAAAAUUUAAAUUUUUCCAUUAGUGGGAAAAAUGUUAUCUGCAAGGUUACAAAAUGUGUUUACUUACAAAUUUGGAAAUAACAGCAGUGUCGAUGCAUCAAGUUUGUCAUCUGCUCAUGGUUAGCAGAUGGUCCUCCUUCUUUGCAAAUAAAGGGCAUGACUCACAUUCAGACUGCAAAUCAGUGCUUGCCCUCUGUUGGAAUGGCAAACUGGGCACUUGAUGGGGUCAGGGGUCAUAUUUUCUAGAGGGCUACAUUCUGGUUUUACCUUGAAUAAUCUCCUGAACAAUCUAGAUAAAAGAUAAUAGCUGAAUGAAAAUAAGUUACUGAAUUUACUCAGAAGGUAUUGAAUUUACUAUAUUGUCUUUCUUAGGUUUCAACUUUGGCAAUAAAAUUGAUGACAGUGAUCUCAACAAAUCUUCAUGGUAAUUGCAAUUUGGCCUAUAAAACUACUUUUAAAAAAUCAGAUUUGGUAUGUGAUCUAAAUAUGCUUAUUACCUAUAUGUGAUGCUAUGGUAAUAUCUGUCCUUUCUGAUAGAAUACAUUUAGUCUGAGAUCCUUUGUUUGUUAUAGCUGCUUUACAUACUGGUUUAUGUACUUAAAAUCUGAUUCAGUUAGUAGCUUGGGUCCAAAGCAAGUUAGGUACAUUUAGCCCCUGUGAAGUUAAGUAGAAUUUAAGUCACAAUUUACCAUUCACUUUAAUAUCAAGGCAUUCAACUACAUUCAGCAAAAUUUGUCAAUAUCAAAUAUUAUUGUUACCAGAGACGUUGUUGCUUUUUCUUUUUGCCUGAAGCUUUACAAGCGUAAUUAAAGUAAUCUUCAAACUAAGCAACUCCCCAAUCUUCUAAAAAUAUCAAUCAUAAUUUAAAUUACACACCCUAAUAAUUCCCAAAUUCCUCCUGGAUGUUAUAUAUGUAGCCACAUCAAAGACAAUCACAUUUUGCCAAAAAUUACGAUGUUCAAUCUGUGUCAUAUCUUUCAAAUUCUCGUAUGUAUUGUUUUAA
Crotalus tigris (Tiger rattlesnake) is the source of this 1798-nucleotide long non-coding RNA. RefSeq lists it as uncharacterized. The transcript has 4 exons. The record is from RefSeq and is a predicted model, not a curated record. Lineage: Eukaryota; Metazoa; Chordata; Lepidosauria; Squamata; Viperidae.